CCAAUAGCGUAUAUUAAAGUUGUUGCAGUUAAAAAGCUCGUAGUUGAAUUUCGGGAUUAGUACGCUGGUCGUGCCUUCGGUAUGUACUGGUGUUACUGGUUCCUACCUUCUGACGAACCGUCAUGUCAUUAAUUUGGUGUGGCGGGAAAUCAGGACUGUUACUUUGAAAAAAUUAGAGUGUUUAAAGCAGGCUCGCGCUUGAAUACAUUAGCAUGGAAUAAUGAAAUAGGACGUUCGAUCCUAUUUUGUUGGUUUCUAGGAUUGACGUAAUGAUUAAUAGGGAUAGUUGGGGGCAUUAGUAUUCAAUUGUCAGAGGUGAAAUUCUUGGAUUUAUUGAAGACUAACUACUGCGAAAGCAUUUGCCAAGGAUGUUUUCAUUAAUCAAGAACGAAAGUUAGGGGAUCGAAGACGAUCAGAUACCGUCGUAGUCUUAACCAUAAACUAUGCCGACUAGGGAUCGGAUGAUGUUAUUUUUAAUGACUCAUUCGGCGCCUUACG
RNAcentral lists this non-coding RNA (498 nucleotides) under uncultured Glomus. Its description in RNAcentral is "SSU rRNA". It matches the Rfam family "Eukaryotic small subunit ribosomal RNA", at positions 591 to 1092 of the family's 1831-position model. The record is from RNAcentral. RNAcentral also lists the same sequence under 1 other name. Lineage: Eukaryota; Fungi; Glomeromycota; Glomeromycetes; Glomerales; Glomeraceae.